Lolium rigidum is the source of this 962-nucleotide long non-coding RNA. RefSeq lists it as uncharacterized. The record is from RefSeq and is a predicted model, not a curated record. The transcript is spliced from 2 exons. NCBI's taxonomy places the organism in Eukaryota, Viridiplantae, Streptophyta, Magnoliopsida, Poales, Poaceae.
CGAACAAUCAUCGAAAACGAAGCACCCGACCAGCUGAUGAAACCGUGUGAUGAAAAGGAAAGGUACUAAUCAACAAACUAAACAAUUAUCAUCGACCAAACCGUGUGAUGAAAAGCAGACACUGGUCUCGAUAGCGUCAAAGCUCACGGCAGGAUUAGAGGAGCUGUCUUCCCUUCGCAUCUGCCCUCACCUAAGCAGACACUUCACUCUCUGAGUCUUCACGCGCUUGCCAUCUGAAUCUCGCCUCCAUCCCGUCGCCUCCGCCGCACCAGAUCCCCGCCGCCGGCAUCAGCCCGCCCGGGUCUGUGGAGUACCCGGCUACAGGUUACCCAUGAGCUGUUGGAGGAGAUGUUGGCGACUCUGAUGCCAUCGGAUACUAAAGGCCAAGCCUGUUGUUACAUUCUUUGGCAGGACUAGCGCCAAUGUUUUACUGAGAAGCAGUUUGCACGUCAAUAGCUGGUGUUGUGAUGCUUCUUCUGGCCGGCCGUGGAGGCGAGAGGAUGAAGAGCAACGGUACGUCGUCUUGUGCAUCUCGAAGGUGGUGGUGAUGGCUCUUGCUGCAAGGUGGAGUGAAUCACACGGUGGCUAUGUCCGCUACCGUGUUCUGUGGCCGAAGUGGCGGCCCCUCCAAUCGCCGUAGUGGCGAUUCUACAACCUCCAAGGUGGAGGCCCCUUCAAGAGCUUCUCGCCGGAGCUCUUUGUUUCACCCCAAGUGGUGCGUCCCCAGCGGGAGUCAUGGCGGCCGGCGAUUGAGGCUCAAUCCCGGUGGAGAGGACCAAGGACUUGAUGGCGUUUCUAUUUUCUGUUUUAGGGUCCUUUAUGUAAUUGUAUUGGGUUGUGCUGUAAUUUUCUCAUUUUCUGAGGGUACAGUUUGUAAAAUGUUCCCUUCGACGCUUAAUUAAUGACAGCUUCGGGGUCCUUCGAGGCCCCAUCCCUAUUCAAAAAAAAAUCUGGCAUUCUAA